RNAcentral lists this ribosomal RNA (486 nucleotides) under uncultured bacterium. RNAcentral describes it as "partial 16S ribosomal RNA". It matches the Rfam family "Bacterial small subunit ribosomal RNA", at positions 30 to 507 of the family's 1533-position model. The record is from RNAcentral.
AUUGAACGCUGGCGGCAUGCCUUACACAUGCAAGUCGAACGGCAGCACGGGGGGUAACCCCUGGUGGCGAGUGGCGAACGGGUGAGUAAUAUAUCGGAACGUGUCCUGUAGCGGGGGAUAACCUAUCGAAAGAUGGACUAAUUCCGCAUACGACCUACGGGUGAAAGCGGAGGACCGCAAGGCUUCGCACUAUAGGAGCGGCCGAUAUCGGAUUAGCUAGUUGGCGGGGUAACGGCCCACCAAGGCGACGAUCCGUAGCUGGUCUGAGAGGACGAUCAGCCACACUGGAACUGAGACACGGUCCAGACUCCUACGGGAGGCAGCAGUGGGGAAUUUUGGACAAUGGGCGCAAGCCUGAUCCAGCCAUGCCGCGUGAGUGAAGAAGGCCUUCGGGUUGUAAAGCUCUUUCGGCGGGGACGAAACGGUUCGUGCUAAUACCACGGACUACUGACGGUACCCGCAGAAGAAGCACCGGCUAACUACGUG